Long non-coding RNA from Anguilla anguilla (European eel), 835 nucleotides. RefSeq lists it as uncharacterized. The record is from RefSeq and is a predicted model, not a curated record. NCBI's taxonomy places the organism in Eukaryota, Metazoa, Chordata, Actinopteri, Anguilliformes, Anguillidae. The transcript is spliced from 2 exons.
UGUUCACCUCUUCUUUUUAUCUACACAUUCACCUAUUUUCAUCAAUCCCAGAUGACAUGCACUGUACUCCAGGAAAGUUGUGCAUCCUCUCCAGCUGAGUCAGGACAUUCAGAUGACCCCAAAAUACUGUGCUCUGGGUUGGAGGAGGGUGUACUGGAGGUAACUUUUCAAUAACUGAAAAUCCAUAAUCACUAACACACUGUCUCAGCUUUAUGAGGUUAAUAUAUUCUAUCUCAGUAAGUAACUUUCAGGACAGUGAUGUUGUCAUCACUGGUGUCCAAUGAGGGGAGGCCUGUGCGGCUUUGCUGAACAGACGGGUGGAGGACUUUUGGGCCGUGUUUCUCGGCCAGCACACACGGUUGGAUGACAAGGUCAUCGACCACGCCCAGGCUCUUACGAAGAUGCUGCAUCCAUAUAUAGGAGGGCUCCAUGCAACCACCCUCCCUGCCGUCCACCGUACCUACACCAGCUCAGGGGUUUGUGAAGAUUCUUAAUGUCUCAGCAAAUCGCUGGAUUACGGUAAGUAACGUCGGCUGUAAGGUAGGUACAUUUAAUGUUUUUGAUUCUCUAGGGCAGCAUAAGACAGAGGAUUUCAUUGCACAGGUUACAUGCCUUCUUGCCUUUCCAGGGAAGAGUGUCCGGCUGCAGUGGCCUGAUGUCCAACAGCAGGCGGGUGGCUCAGAGUGGCUCUCUGCAGAGGUGAGGAUCCCUCCGUGCUCCAGUACCAUCAGCCAGCUAUGCAGACUCACAUCUUUGCUUCUUUUCCGGCUGGAAUUCUGAUACCCUUCCCCAGUACUGCAAGGUGCCCCACAGCCAAGGCAGUCCACGCUAUUGA